RNAcentral lists this ribosomal RNA (478 nucleotides) under uncultured bacterium. Its description in RNAcentral is "partial 16S ribosomal RNA". It matches the Rfam family "Bacterial small subunit ribosomal RNA", at positions 28 to 523 of the family's 1533-position model. The record is from RNAcentral.
GACGAACGCUGGCGGCGUGCUUAACACAUGCAAGUCGAGCGGAAAGGCCCUUCGGGGUACUCGAGCGGCGAACGGGUGAGUAACACGUGAGUAAUCUGCCCUGCACUCUGGGAUAGCCUUGGGAAACUGAGAUUAAUACCGGAUAUGUUCACUUCCCGCAUGGGAUGGUGGUGGAAAGUUUUUCGGUGCAGGAUGUGCUCGCGGCCUAUCAGCUUGUUGGUGGGGUAAUGGCCUACCAAGGCUUCGACGGGUAGCCGGCCUGAGAGGGUGACCGGCCACACUGGGACUGAGACACGGCCCAGACUCCUACGGGAGGCAGCAGUGGGGAAUAUUGGACAAUGGGCGGAAGCCUGGUCCAGCAACGCCGCGUGAGGGAUGACGGCCUUCGGGUUGUAAACCUCUUUCAGCACAGACGAAGCGCAAGUGACGGUAUGUGCAGAAGAAGGACCGGCCAACUACGUGCCAGCAGCCGCCGUAA